CGCCGCCGCCGCCGCCGCCACCCAGCAGCCGGCCGCGAGCGCGUAACGGCCCCGGCGCGCGCACUUCCCUCACUGCCGCCGACUGACCCGGACGUGCUCGGGCAGAGGGGCGGGGAGAGGCGGCCCGGCUCCGCCCCCGAGACGCAGCGAGCCAAUCGCCGCGAAGAACCGGCCGCGAGGGCCGCCUCGCACCCGCGCGACGGGAGGCGGGAAGGCUCCGGAGUGCUGGUGCGCGCGCGGCCGCGUUGCUGAGCAGGCAGUGUCCUUCUCUCCAGAUACACAGAAAGCAAUAAAUCACUACCAGGCCUCAGAUCGGAAGAGAACCAGUAACAGUUACCAGCCAGAAGCAAAUCCUAUUUUGAGAUCCAACAUAUUUCAGUGCAUUCCUCUGAGGGUACUUUCUUGCUCAAAUUCUGAAGGUGUACGGUAAGUGGGUAAUGGUGUGUAAGCAGCAAUUAAUGUCUCUGUAAAAAGUAAUUUAAUUGAACAAGUACUCGUGAACUGUAACUUUCCAGAAGUAGGUCAGAGCAUCUAGAAAAGAAAAAUAGUAUACUGUUGUAUGUUUUUCAGGUGUUCCUUUCCUUCUCUUCAACGUACCUUUUUAAGUAGCCAUUUUCUGAUACAUCAGGCUAGUUACACAGGGAGAUACUGGACUUAAUAUUCUCAACCUGAGUUGUUAAUGGAGUCUAGGCUAUAGUUCACAGGAGUAACAAGCUACCAGGCUAGAAAUACUGUAUUGCAACGUGCCUGGAAACUGUUGGUUUUGCAUGUUAAUAGAACAGUACGUAUCAUUCUC
Molecule: long non-coding RNA, 796 nt
Filed under: Anser brachyrhynchus (Pink-footed goose)
Lineage: Eukaryota; Metazoa; Chordata; Aves; Anseriformes; Anatidae
Description: lncRNA (ENSABRG00000022492.1)
Source: RNAcentral